This is a small nucleolar RNA of Magnolia sinica, 108 nucleotides long. The record is from RefSeq and is a predicted model, not a curated record. NCBI's taxonomy places the organism in Eukaryota, Viridiplantae, Streptophyta, Magnoliopsida, Magnoliales, Magnoliaceae.
UAGCCAUGUUGUGGACAUAAAUUUAUGAGAUCCUUAAAUCCCUCCCAAUAUUGGAAGAAGGUCUUAUCCUCCUUUUAUACAAAAUUCAUGGUUGCUUUCUUUAAGGUA